RNAcentral lists this transfer RNA (73 nucleotides) under Paraburkholderia kirstenboschensis. RNAcentral describes it as "tRNA-Thr". The record is from RNAcentral. Lineage: Bacteria; Pseudomonadati; Pseudomonadota; Betaproteobacteria; Burkholderiales; Burkholderiaceae.
AGUGGGAUGGCGCGGUCUGGUAGCUCGUUGGGCUCGUAACCCGAAGGUCGUACGUUCAAACCUACCCCCGCAA